UGUCGUAAGGGAAAAUAAUGAUAAUACCUUACUAUGAGUGUCGUCCAAAUCUGGUGCCAGAAGACUCGGUAAGACCAGAGACGCAAACGUUAAUCAUCAUAAACAGGCGUAAAGGGUUUGUAGGCAGCUCUCACAAAGACAUAUACAAAAUAAAGUGUUUUAAUUGAGAGCUAGAAUCAAAAAGAGGUUAUAGUGUAUAACGCCUAGAGGAGGGCUGAUAUCCAUAGAUCCUAGGCAGAAUACUCAGGGCGAAGGCCACUCUCCACUACUGAUUGACGCUGAGAAACGAAGGUUAGGGUAGGAAAUAGGAUUAGAUACCCAGGUACUCCUUUCUGUAAACGAUGAAUGGUAGUCAUUAGUAAUAAAACUAGAGGCGAAGUUAACACAAUAACCAUUCCGCCUUGUGAGUACUACUGCAAAGUAGAAAACAAAAAAAUUAGUCGGUCUCGAAGCAAACGGAGUGAAGCA
This 468-nucleotide ribosomal RNA is filed under the name Coriolopsis trogii. RNAcentral's name for it is "SSU rRNA". It matches the Rfam family "Bacterial small subunit ribosomal RNA", at positions 434 to 941 of the family's 1533-position model. Lineage: Eukaryota; Fungi; Basidiomycota; Agaricomycetes; Polyporales; Polyporaceae. The record is from RNAcentral.